Molecule: microRNA, 22 nt
Filed under: Macaca fascicularis (crab-eating macaque)
Lineage: Eukaryota; Metazoa; Chordata; Mammalia; Primates; Cercopithecidae
Description: novel_miR100-3p
Source: RNAcentral
AAGGAGCUCACAGUCUAUUGGG